This 149-nucleotide long non-coding RNA is filed under the name Chinchilla lanigera (long-tailed chinchilla). Its description in RNAcentral is "lncRNA (ENSCLAG00000023530.1)". Lineage: Eukaryota; Metazoa; Chordata; Mammalia; Rodentia; Chinchillidae. The record is from RNAcentral.
CGAAGCAUUUUCAUCAUAGAGGGAUUCUUCUGAGAAAACUCAAGAAGAAUGUAUUAUUAACAAAAGAGCAUAAAAAGGAAACAAACCAGUCUAUUCCUUCCCUAGUGAGGCGAGCUCGCCGAUUACAUGGUUGGAUGCCAUGGCAAUGC